UACUCUGAUGAUCUUCCUGGAGGUUCAGU
Molecule: non-coding RNA, 29 nt
Filed under: Rattus norvegicus (Norway rat)
Lineage: Eukaryota; Metazoa; Chordata; Mammalia; Rodentia; Muridae
Source: RNAcentral